Molecule: ribosomal RNA, 466 nt
Filed under: uncultured bacterium
Lineage: Bacteria
Description: bacterial SSU rRNA
Rfam family: Bacterial small subunit ribosomal RNA
Source: RNAcentral
UGCCAGACUCCUACGGGAGGCAGCAGUGAGGAAUAUUGGUCAAUGGGCUUACGCCUGAACCAGCCAAGUCGCGUGAGGGAAGACUGCCCUAUGGGUUGUAAACCUCUUUUGUCAGGGAGCAAUUGGCGCUACGUGUAGCGUUAUCGAGAGUACCUGAAGAAAAAGCAUCGGCUAACUCCGUGCCAGCAGCCGCGGUAAUACGGAGGAUGCGAGCGUUAUCCGGAUUUAUUGGGUUUAAAGGGUGCGCAGGCGGCGCGGCAAGGCGGGGGUGAAAUCGCGGGGCUCAACCCCGCCCAGCCGUCGGAACUGCCGGGCUAGAGUGGGCGAGAAGUGCGCGGAAUGCGUGGUGUAGCGGUGAAAUGCAUAGAUAUCACGCAGAACUCCGAUUGCGAAGGCAGCGCACCGGCGCCCUACUGACGCUCAGGCACGAAAGCGUGGGUAUCGAACAGGAUUAGAUACCGUCGUA